RNAcentral lists this ribosomal RNA (664 nucleotides) under uncultured bacterium. Its description in RNAcentral is "bacterial SSU rRNA". It matches the Rfam family "Bacterial small subunit ribosomal RNA", at positions 29 to 691 of the family's 1533-position model. The record is from RNAcentral.
AUGAACGCUAGCUACAGGCUUAACACAUGCAAGUCGAGGGGUAGCAAAAUCAAAGCUUGCUUUGAUUGUUGACGACCGGCGCACGGGUGAGUAACACGUAUCCAACCUUCCCUUUACUCGGGGAUAGCCUUUCGAAAGAAAGAUUAAUACCCGAUGGUAUGGCUUUUCCGCAUGGAAGAACCAUUAAAGUUUUUCGGUAUUGGAUGGGGAUGCGUUUCAUUAGAUUGUUGGUGAGGUAACGGCUCACCAAGUCUUCGAUGAAUAGGGGUUCUGAGAGGAAGGUCCCCCACACUGGUACUGAGACACGGACCAGACUCCUACGGGAGGCAGCAGUGAGGAAUAUUGGUCAAUGGGCGAGAGCCUGAACCAGCCAAGUAGCGUGAAGGAUGACUGCCCUAUGGGUUGUAAACUUCUUUUAUAUGGGAAUAAAGUGAGGUACGUGUGCCUUUUUGUAUGUACCAUAUGAAUAAGGAUCGGCUAACUCCGUGCCAGCAGCCGCGGUAAUACGGAGGAUCCGAGCGUUAUCCGGAUUAUUGGGUUUAAAGGGUGCGUAGGCGGACGUUUAAGUCAGCUGUGAAAGUUGAGGCUCAACCUUAAAAUUGCAGUUGAUACUGGGCGUCUGAGUAUAGUGAGUUAGCGGAAUUCGUGUGUAGCGUGAAUGCUU